UCCAACCUCCCACCCGUGUCUAUCGUACCUUGUUGCUUCGGCGGGCCCGCCGUUUCGACGGCCGCCGGGGAGGCCUUGCGCCCCCGGGCCCGCGCCCGCCGAAGACCCCAACAUGAACGCUGUUCUGAAAGUAUGCAGUCUGAGUUGAUUAUCGUAAUCAGUUAAAACUUUCAACAACGGAUCUCUUGGUUCCGGCAUCGAUGAAGAACGCAGCGAAAUGCGAUAAGUAAUGUGAAUUGCAGAAUUCAGUGAAUCAUCGAGUCUUUGAACGCACAUUGCGCCCCCUGGUAUUCCGGGGGGCAUGCCUGUCCGAGCGUCAUUGCUGCCCUCAAGCACGGCUUGUGUGUUGGGCCCCCGUCCCCCUCUCCCGGGGGACGGGCCCGAAAGGCAGCGGCGGCACCGCGUCCGGUCCUCGAGCGUAUGGGGCUUUGUCACCUGCUCUGUAGGCCCGGCCGGCGCCAGCCGACACCCAACUUUAUUUUUCUAAGGUUGACCUCGGAUCAGGUAGGGAUACCCGCUGAACUUAAGCAUAUCAAUA
Molecule: ribosomal RNA, 538 nt
Filed under: Aspergillus fumigatus
Lineage: Eukaryota; Fungi; Ascomycota; Eurotiomycetes; Eurotiales; Aspergillaceae
Description: eukaryotic LSU rRNA
Rfam family: 5.8S ribosomal RNA (bases 166-319)
Source: RNAcentral